Cygnus olor (mute swan) is the source of this 1274-nucleotide long non-coding RNA. RefSeq lists it as uncharacterized. NCBI's taxonomy places the organism in Eukaryota, Metazoa, Chordata, Aves, Anseriformes, Anatidae. The record is from RefSeq and is a predicted model, not a curated record. The transcript has 3 exons.
ACACACACAGAGCUCCAGGCGUGGGUCCUCUUUGGCUUCAGCUGCCUCCUGUCUCCCUGUGUCUGCUCUGCUCAUCACAGCUGUUGAUGGGUUCUCGCCGGCUGGCCACAGAAGACCAAUACUUCCAUCACACUGCUCCUACAGUUCUUGCUCUGAAGGAAAAUUAAGACAUCUUGGCCUUGUUGAAUUUGCUGCUGAAGUAAUACAUCAGAAAACAGCAAGGAAAUUCCAAAUGCCCAGAAUCAGCUCUGCAAUACACACUUUAAUCAAGUCAUUUAUGUGAUUCUACAGAGAUGAGAACAUGCUGUCCUCCUCACGGCUUGCUUUUUUAUGCAAGGAGAGUUACAAGAAUAAUUUUGAUAGAAAACACAGUUUAGGACUGGUUGGAUGAAGUGUUGCCAGAGGUGGUGGCUGUAGUCACUGCCGUUCAGUUGAGCUAGCUAGGAAGGAGCAACUCUACUCCUCUGUGAAGAUACGUGGCCUCCAAAGCAAAGCACAGUCACGAGGCACUGUACACAGCAAAGGCAAUGCCAGUCUGAUCAGAGACUUCAACUACGAGGGAAGUGUAUCUUCUGAGCGUUGCACUGAGCAGCCAAGAGAGCUGAGUGGUAAGAAAAUCCAUAGAAACACUGUGGAAAUGAAGAAUGGAGGCAGGACACGCAGACCAGUGCUUCCCCCUACAAGAGGCCAAGGGUGAGCAUAAGGAAUGAGUAGUGGCCGAAGGAAGCCUCACAGGCAAUGGGAUAAAAUUAUUCUAUACUUCUGUUUGUUUGACUUGUCCUGGGGUCAGAAAAAGAGAUUUGUCCUUUUAUUUUUAUUUUUUUGUAGAUACAGAACUUCAUAAAAGCAGUAUGUGCCUCUGACCAGCAACUUCUCAUCAUAAGAAGAAUAACCUCAAAUUUUUGGCUAGAAAGAAUAUUCAAAAGAAGUAGCUCUAGCAAUGCAAAAGCAUGGAAACUGCAAUACUGCUCCAGAAACAGUGGUCCACCAGGUCUAGCUUUUCAUAGUCAAGAGGCUAACACACUUUUGGAAAUGAUGAAAUAGCAAUGCCAAUUAUUAGUGUAAAACCAUCUACAUAAACGGGACACAAUUCACCACUCACAGGCUUUGAAAGUGGAAGCUUUAUGAAGUCUUCCAUGCAUCACAUUAUACCUCUUUCUAUGCACUGUUACAAAGAUAAAAACACUGAUUAUACAAAUUGGAGGGAUAAAGACAUAUCUCUGUAUUUCAGCUUUUUGUAACAAAGGUCUUUGCUGAAACAGGUAGUAGAAGCA